CCCUUAGAUGUUCUGGGCCGCACGCGCGCUACACUGAUGCAUUCAACGAGCCGAUCCUUGACCGACAGGUCCGGGUAAUCUUUGAAUCUGCAUCGUGACGGGGAUAGAUUAUUGCAAUUAUUAAUCUUCAACGAGGAAUGCCUAGUAGGCGCAAGUCAUCAGCUUGCGUCGAUUACGUCCCUGCCCUUUGUACACACCGCCCGUCGCUCCUACCGAUUGGGUGUGCUGGUGAAAUGUUCGGAUCGGCCGUUUGUCGCGGUUUCCGCGUCAUGUGGCUGAGAAGUUCAUUAAACCCUCCCACCUAGAGGAAGGAGAAGUCGUAACA
This 325-nucleotide ribosomal RNA is filed under the name uncultured eukaryote. Its description in RNAcentral is "partial 18S ribosomal RNA". It matches the Rfam family "Eukaryotic small subunit ribosomal RNA", at positions 1470 to 1796 of the family's 1831-position model. The record is from RNAcentral.